UACGUAGAGUGCAAGCGUUGUUCGGAAUUACUGGGCGUAAAGCGCGCGUAGGCGGGCUUGAAAGUUGAUUGUGAAAGCCCUGGGCUUAACCCGGGAAUUGCAGUCAAAACUACAAGUCUUGAGUGCCUGAGAGGAUGGCGGAAUUCCCGGUGUAGUAGUGAAAUACGUAGAUAUCGGGAAGAACACCUGAGGCGAAGGCGGCUGUCUGGCGGUGCAUCGACGCUGAGGCGCGAAAGCGUGGGGAGCAAACAGG
This 253-nucleotide ribosomal RNA is filed under the name uncultured bacterium. RNAcentral's name for it is "partial 16S ribosomal RNA". It matches the Rfam family "Bacterial small subunit ribosomal RNA", at positions 524 to 776 of the family's 1533-position model. The record is from RNAcentral.